Long non-coding RNA from Sinocyclocheilus anshuiensis, 280 nucleotides. RefSeq lists it as uncharacterized. NCBI's taxonomy places the organism in Eukaryota, Metazoa, Chordata, Actinopteri, Cypriniformes, Cyprinidae. The record is from RefSeq and is a predicted model, not a curated record. The transcript is spliced from 3 exons.
CUGCAGAAGUUGGCGAGUCAGUAUUUGAAGAGGGACUGGCCUGGGAUCAAACCAGACGACCAGAGGACAGAUUACAGGAAUGUGUAUGGAGUGUGGCGGGCUUAUCUUGAAGGCACCAUGCAGGUGACCCAGUCUCGACUCAACGUCUGCGAGAACUACAAGAACGAGAUCUCGGACCCCGCCAAAACUUUACGCCUCUACAAAGAACAGCAGCUGAAAAAGUGCAUUGAGCAGCUGGGUCGGAUCCAGGCAGAGCUCCAGGAUUCAGUGAAGGAUCUGG